CGCUGGCGGCGUGCCUAACACAUGCAAGUCGAGCGGGGACAUUUGGAGCUUGCUUUAAAAUGUUCGAGCGGCGGACGGGUGAGUAACGCGUGAGCAAUCUGUCCCGGACAGGGGGGAUAACAGAUGGAAACAUCUGCUAAUACCGCAUAAGACCACGACGUCACAUGACGUUGAGGUAAAAGGAGCAAUCCAGUCUGGGGUGAGCUCGCGUCCGAUUAGCCAGUUGGCGGGGUAACGGCCCACCAAAGCGACGAUCGGUAGCCGGCCUGAGAGGGCGAUCGGCCACAUUGGAACUGAGAGACGGUCCAAACUCCUACGGGAGGCAGCAGUGGGGAAUAUUGGGCAAUGGGCGAAAGCCUGACCCAGCAACGCCGCGUGAGGGAAGAAGGUUUUCGGAUUGUAAACCUCUGUCCUUGGUGACGAAGGAAGUGACGGUAGCCAAGGAGGAAGCCCCGGCUAACUACGUGCCAGCCGCCGC
Molecule: ribosomal RNA, 478 nt
Filed under: uncultured bacterium
Lineage: Bacteria
Description: bacterial SSU rRNA
Rfam family: Bacterial small subunit ribosomal RNA
Source: RNAcentral